AGAAUGGCGUGAACCCGGGAGGCAGCGCUUGCAGUGAGCUGAGAUAGCGCCACUGCACUCCAGCCUGGGCGACAGAG
Molecule: small nuclear RNA, 77 nt
Filed under: Homo sapiens (human)
Lineage: Eukaryota; Metazoa; Chordata; Mammalia; Primates; Hominidae
Description: partial ncRNA
Source: RNAcentral